CAGUAGCCGCGGGAAUACGGAGGGGGCUAGCGUUGUUCGGAAUUACUGGGCGUAAAGCGCACGUAGGCGGCUUGGUAAGUUAGAGGUGAAAGCCCGGAGCUCAACUCCGGAAUUGCCUUUAAGACUGCCGAGCUAGUAGGUGAGAGAGGUAAGUGGAAUUCCGAGUGUAGAGGUGAAAUUCGUAGAUAUUGAGAGGAACACCAGUGGCGUAGGCGACGUUCUGGUCCGACACUGACGCUGAGGUGCGAAAGCGUGGGGAGCAAACAGGAUUAGAUACCCGAGUAGUCCCUGUCUCUUAUAA
RNAcentral lists this ribosomal RNA (301 nucleotides) under uncultured bacterium. RNAcentral's name for it is "partial 16S ribosomal RNA". It matches the Rfam family "Bacterial small subunit ribosomal RNA", at positions 509 to 809 of the family's 1533-position model. The record is from RNAcentral.